CUCUACCUACACCCAUCUACACCACCUCUGAAACUCCUCCUUCCACCACCAGAACCUCUCAACCACUACCAAAAUUCAACCUUGCCAAUACCUCAUUACCACCUUCUGAAGCUGAAGAAAUGAAUCAAACCACCUCCUCAUCCUCAGCCCCAGAAUCACCUCCCUAUUUUAUCCUUUCUUCUGACACAGAACCCUCUGACCCUGCCUCUCCCACUCUAGCCCAACUUCAAUCUCUCAACCGUAAUUCACAACAACCACAAC
This 261-nucleotide long non-coding RNA is filed under the name Lathyrus oleraceus (garden pea). Its description in RNAcentral is "Pisum sativum (pea) long non-coding RNA (PSAT_LNC033222)". The record is from RNAcentral. Lineage: Eukaryota; Viridiplantae; Streptophyta; Magnoliopsida; Fabales; Fabaceae.